AUGCUCCUCGCCAACCUCCUCCCGCCGCCGCGCUGCCCGCUGGCCUCCCGCACCCGCUGCCAGGCCCCGGCCCGCCACCACCAGCCCGCCGCCUCCUCCUCCCGCGGCCUCCUCCUCCGCGGCGCGGGCUCCCCCGUCGUCAAGCGCCUGCCCGCCGGCGACUGGCUCCUCUGGUACCACUCCGACACGCGCAUCUCCCUCGCCACCUCCCCCGACGGCCUGCGCUGGAGCGCGCCCGUGGCGCCCGACCCGCUGCUGCCCUCCGCCGACUGGUGGGUCUUCGACACCGCCGCCGUCCGCCCGGGCGACGUGCUCGUCAUCUCCGGCCCCGACGCGCCGGCGUCGUCCCGCCGCCCCCCGCCCUCCUCCUCCUCCGCCGUGUACUGGCUCUACUACACCGGCUCCAACGACGCGCGCCUCGCGUCGUCCCCGUUCCCCGCCGCGGACGUCGCCGCGCUGCCCGGCCUCGCCAUCAGCCAGGACGGCCGCCACUGGGCGCGCAUCGAGGGGGCCCACCACACCGGCGCGCUGCUCGGGGUCGGGGAGGACCACCCCCAGGGCUGGGAGAAGCGCUGCGCGGCGGCCCCCAAGGUGGUGAUGCACGCCGACGGGGACCUCCGGAUGUACUACCACUCGUUCGACGAAAUGUCCCAGAGGCACGCGGUCGGGGUGGCCAGGUCCAGGGACGGCAUCCGGUGGGAGAGGGUGGGGAAGGUGCUCGAGGGAGGCGGGCCUGGAUCGUUCGAUGAAGGCGGUGUGCGGCAGGGGCAUGUCGUCCGUGACCGCGCCGCCGGUCGGUACAUGAUGGCGUACGAGGGUUUGGACGGCAAUGGCGGGGUGAGCAUUGGGUUGGCCGUGUCGGAGGACGGGCUGCGAGGCUGGAGGCGGUGCAGUGAAUCACCAGCGCUGCGCCCGUCGGAGGAUGAUGAUGAGUGGGACGUCGCUGGGGUCGGCGCCCCGUGCCUGGUGCAAAUGGAUGGGCCGUAUGAUUGGAGACUCUAUUACAUGGGCGUAGGGAAGGAUGGUGAGGCUGCUAUCGGGAUGGCAUAUUCAGAGGGUCAGGGUCUUCCGAGGUUCAACAAGUGUGAUGCUCUUCUCAUGUAA
RNAcentral lists this ribosomal RNA (1104 nucleotides) under Triticum aestivum (bread wheat). RNAcentral's name for it is "partial small subunit ribosomal RNA". Lineage: Eukaryota; Viridiplantae; Streptophyta; Magnoliopsida; Poales; Poaceae. The record is from RNAcentral.